This 393-nucleotide ribosomal RNA is filed under the name uncultured bacterium. Its description in RNAcentral is "partial 16S ribosomal RNA". It matches the Rfam family "Bacterial small subunit ribosomal RNA", at positions 523 to 918 of the family's 1533-position model. The record is from RNAcentral.
AUACGGAGGAUCCUAGUGUUAUCCGGAUUUAUUGGGUUUAAAGGGAGCGUAGGCGGGAGGUCAAGUCAGCUGUGAAAUGUAUCUGCUUAACGGGUACACUGCAGUUGAAACUGGUUUUCUUGAGUGCGUAAGAGGCAGGCGGAAUUCGUUGUGUAGCGGUGAAAUGCUUAGAUAUGACGAGGAACUCCUAUUGCGAAGGCAGCUUGCUGGGUCGUUACUGACGCUGAUGCUCGAAGGUGCGGGGAUCAAACAGGAUUAGAUACCCUGGUAGUCCGCACAGUAAACUAUGGAUACUCUCUGCCGGCGAUAUAUUGUCGGUGGCCAAGCGAAAGCGUUAAGUAUCCCACCUGGGGAGUACGUUCGCAAGAAUGAAACUCAAAUGAAUUGGCGGGG